AGUGAACGCUGGCGGCGUGCCUAAUACAUGCAAGUCGAACGGAGUGGCGCACGGGUGAGUAAUGUAUAGCUAAUCUUCCCUCCACUAGAGGACAACAGUUGGAAACGGCUGCUAAUACUCUAUAGUGUAGGUUGAGGCUAUAUUGUAUCAGCUAGUUGGUGAGGUAAUGGCUCACUAAGGCUAUGACGCAUAACUGGUCUGAGAGGAGGAUCAGUAACAAUGGAACUGAGACACGGUCCAGACUCCUGCGGGAGGCAGCAGUAGGGAAUAUUGCUCAAUGGGGGAAACCCUGAAGCAGAAACGCCGCGUGGAGGAUGACACUUUUCGGAGCGUAAACUCCUUUUGUUAGGGAAGCGGUACCUAAAGAAUAAGCACCGGCUAACUCCGUGCCAGCAGCCGCGGUAAUAC
RNAcentral lists this ribosomal RNA (408 nucleotides) under uncultured bacterium. RNAcentral describes it as "partial 16S ribosomal RNA". It matches the Rfam family "Bacterial small subunit ribosomal RNA", at positions 29 to 526 of the family's 1533-position model. The record is from RNAcentral.